This 72-nucleotide transfer RNA is filed under the name Candidatus Micrarchaeota archaeon CG1_02_49_24. RNAcentral describes it as "tRNA-Thr". It matches the Rfam family "tRNA". From Rfam's summary of the family: Transfer RNA (tRNA) molecules are approximately 80 nucleotides in length. RNAcentral also lists the same sequence under 3 other names. The record is from RNAcentral. Lineage: Archaea; Nanobdellati; Microcaldota.
GCCUCUGUAGCUCAGUGGUAGAGCAACCGCCUUGUAAGCGGUAGGUCAUGAGUUCAAAUCUCAUCAGAGGCU